Molecule: ribosomal RNA, 401 nt
Filed under: uncultured Clostridium sp.
Lineage: Bacteria; Bacillati; Bacillota; Clostridia; Eubacteriales; Clostridiaceae
Description: bacterial SSU rRNA
Rfam family: Bacterial small subunit ribosomal RNA
Source: RNAcentral
GGGGGAUAUUGCACAAUGGAGGAAACUCUGAUGCAGCAACGCCGCGUGAGGGAAGACGGUUUUCGGAUUGUAAACCUCUGUCCUCAGGGACGAUAAUGACGGUACCUGAGGAGGAAGCUCCGGCUAACUACGUGCCAGCAGCCGCGGUAAUACGUAGGGAGCAAGCGUUGUCCGGAUUUACUGGGUGUAAAGGGUGCGUAGGCGGCUCUGCAAGUCAGGUGUGAAAACCAUCGGCUUAACUGAUGGAGUGCAUUUGAAACUGUGGGGCUUGAGUGAAGUAGAGGCAGGCGGAAUUCCCGGUGUAGCGGUGAAAUGCGUAGAGAUCGGGAGGAACACCAGUGGCGAAGGCGGCCUGCUGGGCUUUAACUGACGCUGAGGCACGAAAGCAUGGGUAGCAAACA